UUCCAGACUCCUACGGGAGGCAGCAGUGGGGGAUAUUGCACAAUGGGGGAAACCCUGAUGCAGCGACGCCGCGUGAGUGAAGAAGUAAUUCGUUACGUAAAGCUCUAUCAGCAGGGAAGAAAAUGACGGUACCUGACUAAGAAGCCCCGGCUAACUACGUGCCAGCAGCCGCGGUAAUACGUAGGGAGCAAGCGUUAUCCGGAUUUAUUGGGUGUAAAGGGUGCGUAGACGGGAAGGCAAGUUGGUUGUGAAAUCCCUCGGCUUAACUGAGGAACUGCAACCAAAACUAUCUUUCUUGAGUGCUGGAGAGGAAAGUGGAAUUCCUAGUGUAGCGGUGAAAUGCGUAGAUAUUAGGAGGAACACCAGUGGCGAAGGCGACUUUCUGGACAGUAACUGACGUUGAGGCACGAAAGUGUGGGGAGCAAACAGGAUUAGAUACCCGCGUAAU
RNAcentral lists this ribosomal RNA (448 nucleotides) under uncultured bacterium. Its description in RNAcentral is "partial 16S ribosomal RNA". It matches the Rfam family "Bacterial small subunit ribosomal RNA", at positions 329 to 794 of the family's 1533-position model. The record is from RNAcentral.